GUCUGACGGAGCGACGCCGCGUGAACGAUGAAGGCCGUGAGGUUGUAAAGUUCUUUUCGAGAGGAGGAAUAAGGUUUGCAGGGAAUGGCAGACUGAUGACGUUAAUCUCGGAAUAAGCCCCGGCUAACUACGUGCCAGCAGCCGCGGUAACACGUAGGGGGCAAGCGUUGUUCGGAAUUAUUGGGCGUAAAGGGCGUGUAGGCGGCUUUACAAGUCUGACGUGAAAGAUCUCGGCUUAACCGAGGGAACGCGUUGGAAACUGUGAGGCUUGAGUAUAGAAGGGGACAUUGGAAUUCCAGGUGUAGGGGUGAAAUCUGUAGAUAUCUGGAAGAACACCGGUGGCGAAGGCGAAUGUCUGGUCAUAUACUGACGCUGAGACGCGAAGGUGCGGGGAGCAAACAGGUUUAGAUACCCUGGUAGUCCGCACAGUAAACGAUGUACACUAGGUGUCAGGUCAUAAGAUUUGGUACCGAAGCUAACGCAUUAAGUGUACCGCCUGGGGAGUAUGCUCGCAAGAGUGAAACUCAAGGAAAUUGACGGG
RNAcentral lists this ribosomal RNA (541 nucleotides) under uncultured Pleomorphochaeta sp. RNAcentral describes it as "bacterial SSU rRNA". It matches the Rfam family "Bacterial small subunit ribosomal RNA", at positions 381 to 917 of the family's 1533-position model. The record is from RNAcentral. Lineage: Bacteria; Pseudomonadati; Spirochaetota; Spirochaetia; Spirochaetales; Sphaerochaetaceae.